AACGAACGCUGGCGGCAUGCCUAACACAUGCAAGUCGAACGAGACCUUCGGGUCUAGUGGCGCACGGGUGCGUAACGCGUGGGAAUCUGCCCUUGGGUUCGGAAUAACAGUUGGAAACGACUGCUAAUACCGGAUGAUGACGUAAGUCCAAAGAUUUAUCGCCCAAGGAUGAGCCCGCGUAGGAUUAGCUAGUUGGUGAGGUAAAGGCUCACAAAGGCGACGAUCCUUAGCUGGUCUGAGAGGAUGAUCAGCCACACUGGGACUGAGACACGGCCCAGACUCCUACGGGAGGCAGCAGUGGGGAAUAUUGGACAAUGGGCGAAAGCCUGAUCCAGCAAUGCCGCGUGAGUGAUGAAGGCCUUAGGGUUGUAAAGCUCUUUUACCCGGGAUGAUAAUGACAGUACCGGGAGAAUAAGCUCCGGCUAACUCCGUG
This 433-nucleotide ribosomal RNA is filed under the name uncultured bacterium. Its description in RNAcentral is "partial 16S ribosomal RNA". It matches the Rfam family "Bacterial small subunit ribosomal RNA", at positions 29 to 507 of the family's 1533-position model. The record is from RNAcentral.